GGUGGAGGAUAAUCUCGGGAAACUGAGAAUAAUAUUCCAUAGAUUUAGGAUGCUGGAAUGCACUUAAAUUAAAAGCUUCGGCGCCUAAGGAUGAGUCUGCGGACUAUCAGGUUGUAGUCAGGGUAACGACCUGACUAGCCUACGACGGAUACGGGUUGUGAGAGCAAUAACCCGGAGAUGAUAUCUGAGACACGAUAUCAGGCCCUACGGGGCGCAGCAGGCGCGAAAACUUCGCAAUGUGCGAAAGCACGACGAGGGAAUCCCAAGUGCUGGCUCGUUAGAGUCAGCUGUUUUUAUGUCUAAAAAGCAUAGAGAGUAAGGGCUGGGUAAGACGGGUGCCAGCCGCCGCGGUAAUACCUGCAGCUCUAGUGGUGGCCGCUAUUAUUGGGCCUAAAACGUCCGUAGCCUGUUUAUUAAAUGCCUAGGUAAAUUGUGUGGCUUAACCAUACGAAUUCUGGGUAGACU
This 465-nucleotide ribosomal RNA is filed under the name uncultured archaeon. RNAcentral's name for it is "bacterial SSU rRNA". It matches the Rfam family "Archaeal small subunit ribosomal RNA", at positions 118 to 585 of the family's 1478-position model. The record is from RNAcentral.